RNAcentral lists this ribosomal RNA (374 nucleotides) under uncultured Alphaproteobacteria bacterium. Its description in RNAcentral is "bacterial SSU rRNA". It matches the Rfam family "Bacterial small subunit ribosomal RNA", at positions 9 to 395 of the family's 1533-position model. Lineage: Bacteria; Pseudomonadati; Pseudomonadota; Alphaproteobacteria. The record is from RNAcentral.
GAGUUUGAUCGUGGCUCAGGACGAACGCUGGCGGUGUGCUUCACACAUGCAAGUCGAACGGGGUAGCAAUACCCAGUGGCGGACGGGUGAGUAACACGUGGGAAUCUACCAUAAGGUGGGGAAUAACAGGCCGAAAGGUCUGCUAAUGCCGCAUAUGUAGGCAUCUCGACAGAGGUGUUUAUGAAAGGAGUAAUCCGCCUUUUGAUGAGCCCGCGUCCGAUUAGCUAGUUGGUAGGGUAAAAGCCUACCAAGGCGACGAUCGGUAGGUGGUCUGAGAGGAUGAUCACCCACAAUGGGACUGAGACACGGCCCAUACUCCUACGGGAGCAGCAGUGGGGAAUUUUGGACAAUGGGCGCAAGCCUGAUCCAGCCAU